Sesamum indicum (sesame) is the source of this 623-nucleotide non-coding RNA. Lineage: Eukaryota; Viridiplantae; Streptophyta; Magnoliopsida; Lamiales; Pedaliaceae. The record is from RefSeq and is a predicted model, not a curated record.
UUGAUUAAGGUUGCAGGUUGCAACGGUCUCUUAAAUUAAACUUAAGGUUGCUUGCUGCCUUACGAGGAUGAAAAUAGGCCACUUCGGUUCGUAAAAUUAAAGUUGCAGCCGCAAACGACGUCGAAGCCAACGGAGAACGGAUGGAAGGCGACAACGGAAGAGAAGAAAAAUCGGAGGAGGAGGAUCAGCCAAGGCCGAAGUACUAGCAAACGGGCGGUCAGCGCGCCGACGGUCCUUCAAGAUGACUUCGCUUUUUGUGUUGCCGUUACCGAACGCAUGACUGCUCUUUACUCGUGGCGGCUCCGUCCACAUUCUGGAUUUUCCCGGCAGUCAAUUUGUACUGCAUAUUGUAUUAGCUUUACGUAGACGCGCCAUGUGAGAAGGACCUUCUGAACACAACCUAGAAGCUGGUGCAACUCUUGCUGCUUUCGAACAUGUAUUACCUGAAGCUGGUGCAAGUCAAUUGUUCACAUAGGAGUAUUACUAUAAGUUAUUUAAAUCCUAUCGCCUCUUGUUAUCCAUCAAUUAGUGAUUUGGUAUAGAAAAGUUUGUGACUUCAUAAGAUGAUGAAUUGCUGAUAUUUUUUCCAUUUUCUUUCUAUACAAAGUGCCAUACAUUGUAUA